UGGGGAAUAUUGGACAAUGGAGGCAACUCUGAUCCAGCAAUUCUGUGCGUGUGAAGAAGGUUUUAGGACUGUAAAACACUUUUAGUAGGGAAGAAAGAAAUGACGGUACCUACAGAAGAAGCGACGGCUAAAUACGUGCCAGCAGCCGCGGUAAUACGUAUGUCGCGAGCGUUAUCCGGAAUUAUUGGGCUUAAAGGGCAUCUAGGCGGUUAAACAAGUUGAAGGUGAAAACCUGUGGCUCAACCAUAGGCUUGCCUACAAAACUGUAUAACUAGAGUACUGGAAAGGUGGGUGGAACUACACGAGUAGAGGUGAAAUUCGUAGAUAUGUGUAGGAAUGCCGAUGAUGAAGAUAACUCACUGGACAGCAACUGACGCUGAAGUGCGAAAGCUAGGGGAGCAAACAGG
This 407-nucleotide ribosomal RNA is filed under the name Verrucomicrobiota bacterium. RNAcentral's name for it is "Verrucomicrobia bacterium partial 16S ribosomal RNA". It matches the Rfam family "Bacterial small subunit ribosomal RNA", at positions 355 to 776 of the family's 1533-position model. Lineage: Bacteria; Pseudomonadati; Verrucomicrobiota. The record is from RNAcentral.